GGGGUUGUGGCUCGGCGAUAGGGCGCUCACCUAGCAUGUGUGAGGCCCUGGGUUCGAUCCUCAGCACCACA
This 71-nucleotide transfer RNA is filed under the name Marmota monax (woodchuck). Its description in RNAcentral is "tRNA.Ala". Lineage: Eukaryota; Metazoa; Chordata; Mammalia; Rodentia; Sciuridae. The record is from RNAcentral.